CACCUUCACCUUCAAGACCGCCCCACCUUUCCAUCAUCCCACUGGAAACUGGAAAACCCAGUUUUAUUCUCCCGCUCCUGCAGCUGGUGGCCCAGGUGACCAGAAAACCCUUCCAGAGGGGGACAACCCUGGACUCUUGACACAUGUCCAUUACCUGUUGGCUUCCAGGAGGAGCAGGAUAUCCAGCCAACUGCUGGGGGCAGGCAGACAUGUCCAUUACCUGUCGGCUUUCAGGAGUAGGAUAUCCAGCCAACUGCUGGGGGCAGGCAGUAGCUAACUCAUUAAUCAGUAUUUUAACCCUUUAUUUAGGCACAUUUAGCCCUUUAUUUAAGCUUCACAGAAGCUGCUGAUGCCAUCCGCGUUGCUCCUCUGCAGAGGAACACCCACCCCCUGGCAGCAGACCUGGGGUUCACACCAUUAACCACUCUGGGUUUUCAGCCCUUAAUGUUUAAUAUAAAGGUUUAUCUGGCCCCAAAACUUUUUAUCACCUGCUCCUAGCCCAGCCCGAGCAGCAAGUAACAUGGGUCUGAGGUGGGUUUCUGCACCUCUCACCAUCAUACUCAGGAGAGGAGACACGAUUAUCCCACAGGAAUCCCACUUCUGACUCCAACUGAGAGGCACCUGUAGGAGUAUCCACAAUUUCUUUCACAUUCCAGCACUAACGAGGCAAAUCACUCACAAAGAAAUGCACAUCGAGCCAAAAAUAGUUACGUUUAUUUAAUUCUCUCCCACAGCUAGGCAUACAUUUACAAUCAAUCAAUAUUUUGUUUUGUUUUAUUUCCGUAACACAGAUGGACAAAUUCCUGCUCAUGCCCACGUCCCAUGUGCUGUCCCCUCUGCUACUACUAAUACAAUCAAUCAAUAUUUUAAGGUUUUGUUUCCAUAACACAGAUGGACAAAUUCCUGCUCGUGCCCACAUCCCAUGUGCUGUCCCCUCUGCUACUACUAAUUCCCCCUGGAAUGUCCUCCCCACGCUGGAGCCAACUCACACCUUCCCUGGCAGCUGGUACCACGGGUGGCCCCACUGCUGGGGGGGGACGUGGGUCCACAGACCAGCUGGUGGCAAGUCCAAGUCCACACAUGGCUUCUUUUUCUUGCUUUUUCAUACCCCGGGCUCCCACCCUUUGAGAACACCCCAAAGGCAGCUCCUUCCUGGUGGGCCAGCCAUCUAGGGUGGCUUUUUUCUUUUUUCGUGGUGCCUUUAAGGCAACACCAAAUUCACCCCAGCCCCAUGGCUUUAUUGGCUUUCCCAUUCAGCAGCUGCACAACCCACCACAGAAUCAGGCCUUUUAUUCUCAUUUGUGGGGAUCUUCCAGCCCGUUCUCAUCUCUGGGGCUACAUUUUGACUCCAGAUACCGCAUGAACUGACCCUUAGCUAUCACCUCCAUUUAUUACUGGGGCCAAUUCUCUCAAUAUACUCACCCUCUCCCACUAGACACAUGGAUUCUUUUCUGUUGUCAGCAUCUCGAUGCAAUCAGGCACCAGUAUCUGCAACAAUUAAGAAAAAAAAAUAAUAAAAUUUAGCUUCUGCUCGGUGAGAAGCA
Molecule: long non-coding RNA, 1544 nt
Filed under: Calidris pugnax (ruff)
Lineage: Eukaryota; Metazoa; Chordata; Aves; Charadriiformes; Scolopacidae
Description: lncRNA (ENSCPUG00000012572.1)
Source: RNAcentral